This 492-nucleotide ribosomal RNA is filed under the name uncultured bacterium. RNAcentral describes it as "partial 16S ribosomal RNA". It matches the Rfam family "Bacterial small subunit ribosomal RNA", at positions 29 to 507 of the family's 1533-position model. The record is from RNAcentral.
AGUGAACGCUGGCGGUAGGCCUAACACAUGCAAGUCGAACGGCAGCACAGUAAGAGCUUGCUCUUACGGGUGGCGAGUGGCGGACGGGUGAGGAAUACAUCGGAAUCUACUUUUUCGUGGGGGAUAACGUAGGGAAACUUACGCUAAUACCGCAUACGACCUACGGGUGAAAGCAGGGGAUCUUCGGACCUUGCGCGAUUGAAUGAGCCGAUGUCGGAUUAGCUAGUUGGCGGGGUAAAGGCCCACCAAGGCGACGAUCCGUAGCUGGUCUGAGAGGAUGAUCAGCCACACUGGAACUGAGACACGGUCCCGACUCCUACGGGAGGCGGCAGUGGGGAAUAUUGGACAAUGGGCGCAAGCCUGAUCCAGCCAUACCGCGUGGGUGAAGAAGGCCUUCGGGUUGUAAAGCCCUUUUGUUGGGAAAGAAAAGCAGCAGGUUAAUACCCCGCUGUUCUGACGGUACCCAAAGAAUAAGCACCGGCUAACUUCGUG